RNAcentral lists this long non-coding RNA (4547 nucleotides) under Homo sapiens (human). Its description in RNAcentral is "non-protein coding lnc-ANKRD18B-4:1". The record is from RNAcentral. Lineage: Eukaryota; Metazoa; Chordata; Mammalia; Primates; Hominidae.
GGAGCAGCUAGGCCUGGCCAGAGAAGCAAGACAAACAAACACACCCAUAUGUACAGACACACACAAACACAUGCAUACACAAACACAAUGCAUGCACACAUGUCAGUUCAGGGGAUAGAGGACACUGACUCUGGGCCCUCUUGACCCAAGCAGGCUCCUGUUGUGGUGGGUUGUGUCAUCCCACGAUGUCACUCUUGCUGAGUCCCCAUCGCCUCUGUGUUUUGGAGCAGUUAGAGACACACAGCAGUCUCUGUGAGUGGCUCUGCGUGAAGGAUUGUUUUCUAGGUGAGAUGCACAUCUCAACACAGCUGACUGCUCAGACUCAGCAAUUCCAUUCUGCAUCUCCUCUGGACACCCCCAGGACCACCAGGACAACCCCAUCAUGGCCCUGUCACCAGGCCCAGUCUGGCUCCAUGAUAACCAAGAUGCAGGUCCAGAGACAACCGCCCUACUUGGUGCCUGCAUCUGACCCCCCUUGGUGGGUAGUGACCAGCCCAACAUGGAAGAAGCCAGGGCAGCAUGCAGCCAGCUGCCCUGCAGCCCCAGAUGGCACCUGGGCCUUGGGAAGUCAUUCUCAAAGGGGAAGCUGGAAACUUUGAUGUCCCUGGAGGGAAGGGUGAACGUGGCAUCUGAACAACCCUGGCAGCCAGCAGCAUCUUCUCAUCCAACCUGUGGGACAGAGGCCCCCUGCUUGGGAAUGAGAUCCAUACCUAAAGGGUCCUGGCCCAGUCAGGCCUCAUCCUGGGCCCUGGGAGGGGAGGGGCACUAUGGGCCCCCCAGCAGCAGUCAGCAUUACCACCCAGGGAACUCAGCCUUCUGUGGCCCUGGCCAGAGUUAGAAUUUGGCCCAAGACAGGACAAGCUCACUCAGAGCAGGGUGUCAGUACCCAGGACCUGUGCAUGCCAGGCAAGGCCAAGCUGGCUCAAAGAGCAACCAGCCACCUCUGCAAGGGUGUGCCUGGAGCAGAUGGACCAGCCACCAGCCUCACCCACUCAAGGAAUCAGGGGUGGCCAGGUUCCCACAGCCUGAGGGGCUGCCACUUGACGGCUGAUGGAGUGGAGGCCUGAGGAAAAGCAGAUGGCACUGGGGCCCUACCUCCAGGGCAGAAUAACUGAUUUACCCUGACUGGCAGCGAGUGAGGUUGGUGGCUGGUCCACCUGCUCCUGGCACACCCUUGCAGAGGUGGCUGGUUGCUCUUUGAGCCAGCUUGGCCUUGCCUGGCAUGCACAGGCCUCAAUGCAACCACUGUGCUGCAGAUGGAGCCACAUAGAGGAAAUGAGCAGCAGGCUCAGGAGCAGGGUGUGCACUGCCUUUGGGGCUCCAGUCCAUGCAUGAGGGCUCCUACAGAACUGUGGGCUUCUUGGGUGCCAAGAGGCAGACCACAGGCCAUCUUGAGAAGGACUCCGUGUUCAAGUGCAGAAAGGGCCCAAUCUGGUAGAUGAACCACACAGCCAGCUUUUGGGUGCAGGCACAGUGCCACAUCUUCCAUCACUUCCUGAUGUGUCACACCAGCACUGAAGAGACAGCCUGGAGACAGGGCAAGAGGAAGGCUGAGAAGGAUGAGGUGGUGAAUUCCAGCUUCUUCCUGACCCUGAGCCCACCCCCAAGGUGGCCCUCAACCUUUAAGAGUGGGAGAGCAAAAUUGAUGGCUUCGAGUGCUUCACCAAGAAGAUAGAAACACAGGGCACUCAGCUCAACUUCUCAGCCAAUGAGUUGACAUGCAAGCAGAUUAUGGUGAUGGGUUUUAAGAAGGAGCAUCAGAAGGUGGCCAGUUCUUCAGCCUCAGCCAGGUCUUGGAGCUGGGCCAGGCCAUCACUUCACCAGAGAUGCCUUCAACACCGUUGGUGAGCUCUGCCAAUCAGCCCAUCCAGGAACUGGACCCAGUCAUGGACCUGUUAGUGCUGUCUCAGGGACACCAGGUCAACAUCCCGGACAUCAUCCACAUACACAAGGAAGCUCUUACCAAAGUCAUGGAGAGCAGGCAACAUGUGGCAGAAGGGAAGACAGAGGUGCAGAGGCUGAUGAUGUCAGAAUCACAGGAACAGGAUUUCUUUGGACACUGUGGCUGAAAUUCACCACUUCCAUCCAAUUCCGGUGAGAAACAUGGACUCACAGAUGCAGGAUUUCUUGCAACAAGAGAUACUAUUUUUUCAAAAGGUCACCCAGGAAUUGAUAGUGUUGAAUGACUAGAUACUCGAUUGUGCACUGUUUCCAGUUCAAGGAUGCUUUCUACAGCAGAAUAAUAACACUAGCAAAGAGCUAGUGCCAGGUAUUGGCGGUAGUACAAGGAUGGCUUUGUUCUCAAUUGAAACUCAGCUGAAUAUAGAAUUGUGUAGGAAACAGUUAAUAUGGCGAUAGAAUAGAAACAGUAGCAAACAUGACCUAAACCAUGCUAUGAAUUCCUACACUACCAUUGUAACUUUUGGAAGAAUGAUACCACUUACUUUAUUGCUUUUUGAAGUAUGAAUAUUUUCAUGUAUAUGCUGUAGACCUCAAACCCUGUGAAGAGUCUCAAAGAAGCUGGCUGGAUAAAGCCUGAGUGACUUCUCAUGAGACCUGGUCAUUGAAAACUCUAUGUCACCUCCCUACUCUGCAUGUUUUCCUCUUGCCGUGUGAGACAACUCACUCUUUCUUUGCCUUGCACAAAGAUUGAAAGAUUUCUGAGGCCUACCAGAAGCAGAAGCCCUGUGCUUCCUGUCCACCCUGCAGAACCAUGAGCCAAUUAAACCUCUUUUUCAUAAUGAAUCAUACAGAAAAUGGCAAAUGAGGACUGGAGCAUUGCUAUAAAGAUACCUGAAAAUGUGGAAGCAGCUUUGGAACUAGGUAAUGGACAGAGGUUGGAAGAGUUUGGAGGGCUCAAAAGAAGACAGAUGAGAAAGUUUGGACCAUCUUAGAGACUGGUUAAAUGGUUGUGACCAAAAUCCUGACAGAAACAUGGACAGUGAAGGCUAGGCUGAGGAGGUCUCAGAUAGAAAUAAGAAGCUUUCUGGAAAAUGUCUUCCUUUUGGAUAUGGAAAGCUUACACAAUGCCUGUACCACCCCUGUACCUUAGAAGCAGUGAUCUUGCAUUUUAUUUCAGAGGCUUAUAGGCAAAAGAGGCUGCAGCCUUGACUCAGAUGAGACUUUGGACUUUGUAACAUUGUGUUAAUGCUGAAAUGAGUUAAGACUCAUGCUGGGAAGGCAUGAUUGUAUUUUGCAAUGUGAAAAGGACAAGAGAUUCGUGGGGUCAGGGACAGAAUAAUAUGGUUUGUCUCUAUAUCCCUAUCAAAACCCGUGUGGAAUUAUACUCCCUAACGUUAGAGGUGGGGCCUAGGUGGAAAAAGAUUUAGUCAUAAAAUGGUGCAGGUAGAUCCUCCACGAAUGAUAAAGCACCAUCCCCUUGAUGCUGUCCUCCUGAUAGUGAGUGAGUUUUCAUGUGAUCUGGUUGUUUAACAGGCUGUGGAACCUCUUUCCUCACUCUGUCUUCCUCCUACUCCUGCCAUAGGAGACAGCUGAUUGUCCCUUGGCCUUCUGGUAUAAUUAGGAGGCUCCCUGACUCCUCCCAGAAACAAAAGACACUAUGCUUCCUUCACAGCCUGCAGAACCCUGAGUCAAUGAAACCUCUUUUAUUUAGGAUAAUACAGAAAAUUAGAACUGCAGAGAGGAGCUGUGAAAUGUCUUCAAGGCCUUUUUCCAUUUGUCUUGGCCAUUAGCACAGGGCUUCUUUAUAUGCAAAUUUCUGAAGUCUUCUUGAAUGUUCCCCCUUAAAUCGGGUUUUGUGUUAUUACUACAUAGCCAACCUGCUAUAGAGAUACCUGAAAAAGUAGAAGCAGGUUCAGAAGUGGGUAACAAACAAAGAUUGGGAGGGUUUGCAGGGAUUGGAAAAUGACAAAAAGAUGAGGGCCUGGUGGGAGUGAUUUAAUCACGGAUGGGAGGCGGGUGGGGUGGAAGGAAAAAGAGGUGGGCAGGGUGGGGAGGAGUAGGCUGGUGUAGGGUGGUGGAAGGGUGGGGUGUAGUGGGAGUGGGGAGUCGCCUGCUGCAGAGGCACAGCCUCAUGGACAACCUCUACUAGGGCAGUGCACCUGUGGCUUUGCAAGUUUUAGCCCCCACGGCUGCUCUCAUGGACUGGGCUACUGUUGAGUGCCUGUAGCUUUUCCACAGUGGGGGUGCAAGCUGUUGGUGGGUCUAUGAAUCUGGCUCUGCCUCUGCAGCAGGCUUCUGCCUGGAAACAGUGGGAGGUGGAGGUGGGGGUUGCGGGGGCAGAUCCUUCACCAGUGGUUAAGCACCAUCUUCUUGAUGCUGACCUUGUGAUACUGAGUUCUCAUGAGAUCUGGUUGUAUAACAGGGCGGGCUCCUCUUUCCUCUCUCAGUCUUGCUUCUACUGCUGCCACAUGAAGCAUUUCCUUGCCCCUUGGCCUUCUGGUAUGAUUGGGAGGCUUCCUGAGUCCUCCCGGAAGCAGAAGCCACUAUGCUUCCUUUACAGCCUGCAGAACCGUGAGCCAAUUACACCUCUUUCUUUAUGAUUGUACACAAAAUUAGUGCUGUGAAGUGGAGCUAUGAAAUGCCUU